AUACAUAAAUAGAUAAGAUAGUAUAUGAUGAGACUGUGAUGAUUGUAAUAU
Molecule: non-coding RNA, 51 nt
Filed under: Trypanosoma brucei brucei
Lineage: Eukaryota; Euglenozoa; Kinetoplastea; Trypanosomatida; Trypanosomatidae
Source: RNAcentral